UCGAGAAUUUUUCACAAUGGGCGAAAGCCUGAUGGAGCGACGCCGCGUGGGGGAUGAAUGGCUUCGGCCCGUAAACCCCUGUCAUUCGCGAUCAACCCUUAUUAUUUAAAAGAUGAUAAGCUGAUAGUAGCGGAAGAGGAAGGGACGGCUAACUCUGUGCCAGCAGCCGCGGUAAUACAGAGGUCCCAAGCGUUGUUCGGAUUCACUGGGCGUAACGGGUGCGUAGGUGGUGACGUACGUCGGAUGUGAAAUCUCGGAGCUCAACUCCGAAAUGGCAGUGGAA
Molecule: ribosomal RNA, 283 nt
Filed under: uncultured prokaryote
Description: partial 16S ribosomal RNA
Rfam family: Bacterial small subunit ribosomal RNA
Source: RNAcentral